Molecule: ribosomal RNA, 241 nt
Filed under: uncultured bacterium
Lineage: Bacteria
Description: partial 16S ribosomal RNA
Rfam family: Bacterial small subunit ribosomal RNA
Source: RNAcentral
UACGAAGGGGGCUAGCGUUGUUCGGAAUUACUGGGCGUAAAGCGCACGUAGGCGGAUUUGUAAGUCAGGGGUGAAAUCCCGGGGCUCAACCUCGGAACUGCCUUUGAUACUGCAAGUCUCGAGUCCGAUAGAGGUGAGUGGAAUUCCUAGUGUAGAGGUGAAAUUCGUAGAUAUUAGGAAGAACACCAGUGGCGAAGGCGGCUCACUGGAUUGGUACUGACGCUGAGGUGCGAAAGCCGGG